Molecule: ribosomal RNA, 198 nt
Filed under: uncultured fungus
Lineage: Eukaryota; Fungi
Description: partial 18S rRNA
Rfam family: Eukaryotic small subunit ribosomal RNA
Source: RNAcentral
UGGAUGUUCUGGGCCGCACGCGCGCUACACUGACAGGGCCAGCGAGUACAUCACCUUGGCCGAGAGGUCUGGGUAAUCUUGUUAAACCCUGUCGUGCUGGGGAUAGAGCAUUGCAAUUAUUGCUCUUCAACGAGGAAUGCCUAGUAGGCACGAGUCAUCAGCUCGUGCCGAUUACGUCCCUGCCCUUUGUACACACCG